RNAcentral lists this small RNA (1348 nucleotides) under Pongo abelii (Sumatran orangutan). Its description in RNAcentral is "retained intron". Lineage: Eukaryota; Metazoa; Chordata; Mammalia; Primates; Hominidae. The record is from RNAcentral.
GUGCGGCGGGAUGUGGCCCGGAAUAUUGGUGGGGGGGGCCCGGGUGGCGUCAUGCAGGUACCCCGCGCUGGGGCCUCGCCUCGCCGCUCACUUUCCAGCGCAGCGGCCGCCGCAGCGGACACCCCAGACCGGCCUGGCCCUGCAGCGGAGCCUGCACGCGACGGCGGCCCGGGCUCUCCCGCUCAUUCCCAUCGUGGUGGAGCAGACGGGUCGCGGCGAGCGCGCCUAUGACAUCUACUCGCGGCUGCUGCGGGAGCGCAUCGUGUGCGUCAUGGGCCCGGUGAGCGCCCCGCGCCGGGACCCUCCCCGGGACUCUUCCAAGCGCCUGCCCAGACCCCCUGCGCCCCUUCUCCCCUGGCCCCAGACUUUCUUCCCCCAGGCUCCGCUCCCCUUCUAACCCCCUUCCCUCCCCUUCUCACUCCCCUCCCGGCUCCCGGUCCCCCACCCCGCUCCUCACCCCGUCUCUGCUCCUCGCCUCUUAAUUUCCGACUUCCUUCCUGACACCUGGCACCGCUCCGCUCAUUCCUAGGCUCAAGACUCUCCCCAACCAUUUUCACCCCUUCCUUUCCUGUGUCCUGAGCCCCCUGACUCCCCCCUUCCUGUGCUCCAAACCCCCUGGGUCCUCUGCACUACUCUCUCCCCAUCGCCUUCUGGGUCCUAAAUUCUUAACCACCCCUUUUACUUGGGCUCUGGUCCCCCUUCCUGGUUCCCUGACCCAUCCCCAGCCUCCCUUAAAACUCUCUCCCUACCCCGAAUCUGGGGACACUCCUGCCCUCUCCACCUGCAGAUCGAUGACAGCGUUGCCAGCCUUGUUAUCGCACAGCUCCUCUUCCUGCAAUCCGAGAGCAACAAGAAGCCCAUCCACAUGUACAUCAACAGCCCUGGUGGUGUGGUGACUGCGGGCCUGGCCAUCUACGACACGAUGCAGUACAUCCUCAACCCGAUCUGCACCUGGUGCGUGGGCCAGGCCGCCAGCAUGGGCUCCCUGCUUCUCGCUGCCGGCACCCCGGGCAUGCGCCACUCGCUCCCCAACUCCCGUAUCAUGAUCCACCAACCCUCAGGAGGCGCCCGGGGCCAAGCCACAGACAUUGCCAUCCAGGCAGAGGAGAUCAUGAAGCUCAAGAAGCAGCUCUAUAACAUCUAUGCCAAGCACACCAAACAGACCCUGCAGGUGAUCGAGUCUGCCAUGGAGAGGGACCGCUACAUGAGCCCCAUGGAGGCCCAGGAGUUCGGCAUCUUAGACAAGGUUCUGGUCCACCCUCCCCAGGACGGUGAGGAUGAGCCCACGCUGGUGCAGAAGGAGCCUGUAGAAGCAGCACCGGCGGCAGAACCUGUCCCAGCUAGCACC